RNAcentral lists this ribosomal RNA (491 nucleotides) under uncultured bacterium. Its description in RNAcentral is "partial 16S ribosomal RNA". It matches the Rfam family "Bacterial small subunit ribosomal RNA", at positions 29 to 507 of the family's 1533-position model. The record is from RNAcentral.
GUGAACGCUGGCGGUAGGCCUCACCCCUGCAAGUCGCACGGCAGCACAGUAAGAGCUUGCUCUUACGGGUGGCGAGUGGCGGACGGGUGAGGAAUACAUCGGAAUCUACUUUUUCGUGGGGGAUAACGUAGGGAAACUUACGCUAAUACCGCAUACGACCUACGGGUGAAAGCAGGGGAUCUUCGGACCUUGCGCGAUUGAAUGAGCCGAUGUCGGAUUAGCUAGUUGGCGGGGUAAAGGCCCACCAAGGCGACGAUCCGUAGCUGGUCUGAGAGGAUGAUCAGCCACGCUGGAACUGAGACACGGUCCAGACUCCUACGGGAGGCAGCAGUGGGGAAUAUUGGACAAUGGGCGCAAGCCUGAUCCAGCCAUACCGCGUGGGUGAAGAAGGCCUUCGGGUUGUAAAGCCCUUUUGUUGGGAAAGAAAAGCAGCAGGUUAAUACCCCGCUGUUCUGACGGUACCCAAAGAAUAAGCACCGGCUAACUUCGUG